UACUGAAGCAAAGAAAGAAAAUGGAAAUC
RNAcentral lists this non-coding RNA (29 nucleotides) under Mus musculus (house mouse). Lineage: Eukaryota; Metazoa; Chordata; Mammalia; Rodentia; Muridae. The record is from RNAcentral.